RNAcentral lists this ribosomal RNA (520 nucleotides) under uncultured Glomus. Its description in RNAcentral is "SSU rRNA". It matches the Rfam family "Eukaryotic small subunit ribosomal RNA", at positions 569 to 1088 of the family's 1831-position model. The record is from RNAcentral. Lineage: Eukaryota; Fungi; Glomeromycota; Glomeromycetes; Glomerales; Glomeraceae.
AGCAGCCGCGGUAAUUCCAGCUCCAAUAGCGUAUAUUAAAGUUGUUGCAGUUAAAAAGCUCGUAGUUGAAUUUCGGGGUUAGUAGGUUGGUCAUGCCUCUGGUAUGUACUGGUCUCACUGAUUCCUCCUUCCUGAUGAGCCGUAAUGCCAUUAAUUUGGUGUUGCGGGGAAUUUGGACUGUUACUUUGAAAAAAUUAGAGUGUUUAAAGCAAGCUAACGCUUGAAUACAUUAGCAUGGAAUAAUGAAAUAGGACGUUCGAUCCUAUUUUGUUGGUUUCUAGGAUUGACGUAAUGAUUAAUAGGGAUAGUUGGGGGCAUUAGUAUUCAAUUGUCAGAGGUGAAAUUCUUGGAUUUAUUGAAGCUAACUACUGCGAAAGCAUUUGCCAAGGAUGUUUUCAUUAAUCAAGAACGAAAGUUAGGGACCGAAGACGAUCAGAUACCGUCGUAGUCUUAACCAUAAACUAUAGCCGACUAGGGAUCGGAUGAUGUUAAUUUUUUAAUUGACUUCUAUUCGGCGCCG